RNAcentral lists this ribosomal RNA (490 nucleotides) under uncultured bacterium. RNAcentral describes it as "partial 16S ribosomal RNA". It matches the Rfam family "Bacterial small subunit ribosomal RNA", at positions 30 to 507 of the family's 1533-position model. The record is from RNAcentral.
AUUGAACGCUGGCGGCAGGCCUAACACAUGCAAGUCGAACGGUAACAGGAAGCAGCUUGCUGCUUCGCUGACGAGUGGCGGACGGGUGAGUAAUGUCUGGGAAACUGCCUGAUGGAGGGGGAUAACUACUGGAAACGGUAGCUAAUACCGCAUAACGUCGCAAGACCAAAGAGGGGGACCUUAGGGCCUCUUGCCAUCGGAUGUGCCCAGAUGGGAUUAGCUAGUAGGUGGGGUAACGGCUCACCUAGGCGACGAUCCCUAGCUGGUCUGAGAGGAUGACCAGCCACACUGGAGCUGAGACACGGUCCAGACUCCUACGGGAGGCAGCAGUGGGGAAUAUUGCACAAUGGGCGCAAGCCUGAUGCAGCCAUGCCGCGCGUAUGAAGAAGGCCUUCGGGUUGUAAAGUACUUUCAGCGGGGAGGAAGGGAGUAAAGUUAAUACCUUUGCUCAUUGACGUUACCCGCAGAAGAAGCACCGGCUAACUCCGUG